AUCUUGAAAACGGAAAAUAAAAACAGCAGACCUAUGAAGGUCGAAGGGGAAGAAAAGCUGUAUCGAUUGUUGAGAUCUGGCGACUUGUUUAAAUUUCAUCAGCCUCACUUCUAUGAACUCUCAGGACAGCUCACAGUAUGGCAGCUGACAUUCUACAGAGUGAGCAGGUGAAGGAAAGAAAGAAAAGAGCUGAUUACCAACUCCUACCACUGUUAACCCUCAUCCAGGAACAAGCUUAUGUCUUUAACAUUCUGAGUGGGCUUCAGCAUCCUUGCAUAUGUUCAAUUCUUAAAAACCUGUUGAAAUAAAAGAUCAGGAGACAUAGGAAGGAUGCCAGAAGAGAGCGUGGCCUCACGUGUACCAGCUCUCUGCUCUCCUUUGCCUUGGGACGUUCCAUCCCUGGAAGUUUCCCUGCCCACAUCUUUGUAGAGAGUCCAUUCUCCAAGCUUCAGUGUGUCAUCUGUGAGGACCGUGACCCACCUGGUACAUCGCCUCAGGGCAUUCAUUUCAGGCUCCUUCUAAAUGGCCAAGGUAAACCUCAGGUUCUCCUCCUGCCUUUUGCUAAGUAUAUGUCUUGAUGACAAGCCUUCUGCUGAUGAGCUGUGUUUCUGGACCGAUCAUGGUAGAAGUCAAUUAACGUGUCCCUCACUUGGGGUUUCUCAAGGCUGCACUGAUGAGGAAACUGAAACAGAAAAUCCAGAGUAAAUUCCACCAGGCCACACAGCAAGGUCUGAUAGAGCCAGGAGAGACUUUAUGAAAUCCAGACUCUCACACUAAUGCUCUAUCAGCUAGACCUCCAUGUGAGUCUCCCCAAUGUAGGUAGGAAGUGCUUUCCCUAAAAUGCUCAUAAAGCAAAUCAGAGCAAUGCUGCAUUCCAUGUGAUUUCUAAUUUGAAAUGCAAACAAUUGCCAAUUUGUUUGACUUGUAUUUAUAAUUAUUUCCUUGUGAAUUACUCAUCACUAAAUGCUUUAUAAAUAUUUUCUCUUUUUUUCCUCAAUGUCUAUGGAAUGAUCACAGCAUAGAAAAUGUUGGCUUUCAAGGAUUUAUUAAUAUCUCCUUUUGAAAUAACAUGUAUUUGUAAGACAGAAUAAAAUCACUUUAAAGAAACAAA
This 1111-nucleotide long non-coding RNA is filed under the name Homo sapiens (human). Its description in RNAcentral is "testis expressed 41". The record is from RNAcentral. Lineage: Eukaryota; Metazoa; Chordata; Mammalia; Primates; Hominidae.